This 39982-nucleotide long non-coding RNA is filed under the name Ananas comosus (pineapple). RNAcentral's name for it is "long non-coding RNA (ACOM_LNC017377)". Lineage: Eukaryota; Viridiplantae; Streptophyta; Magnoliopsida; Poales; Bromeliaceae. The record is from RNAcentral.
AACAAAUUCGUUUGCAUAGAGAAUGAAGGAGAUGAAUGUUUAUUCCCUGAAAUAGGGGAAAAAAAGGGACAAGCAAUACACAAGCUAUACAUGCAUGCAUGAAUCUCACGUCCAAGUUAGUGAUAUUAACGAUACUAAUGAACGAAGUAGGUGAUGAGGAGAGCAACAAGCAUGAGAACAUAAGCAAUCCCUUGAUCGAUCGCAUUGGCAUCGAUCCGAUGUACUGGUACUGCCGUUGCCUCUGAAUGGCCAUGCGCGAGCUGUGUCGAUCCUGAUAUGAACGCAACGACGAUGAUGAACAGCGUGUACGCUCUCAUCGGACUCAUAUUCCUCUCUCAAAAAUUACAAAGGCUUAUAAUGUGCGUAGCUAGUUCAGUGUGUGUAGUAGUAGUAGUAGUAGUUGUUGUUGUUAUGAUGUAGAGGGGUUGGAGGAACGUAGGGGUGUGUUUAUAGUAAGUUUUUCUUUUUUCUUUUUUCUUUUUUUUUUAAAGGAAGGUGCUUUGGGAAUGGAGUGAGGGAACCGGCCGUUGACCCGAAGAACGUGGACGGCGGGAAAAAUUAGGGUUUCAAAUAACGGUCGAAUUAGGGGUCAAAAGGGUAAAGGAAACAAAAAAAAGAAGGUUCCUUGCCGUUGGAUCUCAGUGUUUAAUAUGUGGGGUAAAUAUUAUUAAAUGCAAAAAUAUUUAAAUAUCGUUCUCUAUCGAGUUAAAUUUUUAGAGAAUAAUGGUUGUUUCAUAUUAUUUAACAAAUAUGAGCCAUAGAUGAGUCUGCAAUCCUCUCUGCUAUUUAUCAUUCGAGCCGUUGGACGCCAUGAUCACUUGCUAAUUAAACCAUGUUUUUAGGAGUAAUUAUAAGAACCCUGCACCUUUUCUCGUGGGUCUAAUAUUUUCUACAUAAAAAAAUUUAGACAGUGUCAAUCCUAUGUUUUAGUUUUGUCUCAAAUAGAUCCGGCAGUUAGAGUUUCUUGUUUAUUUUAUUGGCGGUAUAUUGAGAUAGUAUAUAUACCUUUCAAUCUAUUUAAGGUCCUUCAAAGAUGUCAUUAAUUACCAAAUCCAAGAAGCUAAUUAACCGCAAAAAAAAGCAUCUAUGUGAAGGGUUCUGUUCGUCACGUGCGAGAAUUCACGUGUUUUAAUACUUCAUAAAAAAUUAAGAGAAUCUCCAAAUUAUUGAGUCUAUUUGAUACAAGACUAAAAUUAUAUAUAUACAUAGAGUGAGGCUACUAUGCUAUCGGAAGUACGGAGCCUUCCGUGCUUCCAGCUCGUUUUCGAUAUUGCGACUUUCGAAUCGUCGAUCGGCUCCGUUAAACUUGAUCUAGAGUAUUUGAAGUACAUAGAAAAUAAAUUUUAUGAUUUUACGAUAUCAUUUGCCUAGUGAACGAAGGGGCUCAAAAUCAACGGCUGAAAAUAAAAAUCUUACAAAUAUGUUAUAUAUUAACAUUUAAAAUUUAAAUCAAAGUAUUGAUCUUAUUUUAUAAUAGUAUAAAGAAUUUUCUAUCAAAAUUUCAACGUGAUUUGGAUAUUUGUACACCGUUAAACUUGCAAACGGCUCACUACGGCCAUUGAAAUUUGUUGAUUUUGAGCCGAUUCGAUCACUAGGCAAAUGAUAUCGAAAAAUAAUAAAAUUUAUUUUCUAGGUACUCUAAAUACUCUAGAUCAAUUUAACGGAGCUGAUCGACGAUUCGAAAGUCGCAUACAUCGAAAACGAGCUGGAAGCACGGAAGGCUCGUACUUUCGAGAGCAUAGUAGCCUCACUUAUAUAUAUAUAUAUAUAAUAUAUAUAUAUAUAUAUAUAAUAAGAUUAUAUUAUUUAGGGGGUUAUUUGAGAGAAGUGGUAAAGUGCCGGGAGUGUUUUAUAAUUAAUUUUUUUUUUAUGAUAGAGAAAAUAUUCUGUCCAACUCUAUUUUAUUGUGAUACAUUAUUUAAAAACAGCACACAUGCCUCUUUUAUAUCUUAGAAAAAUGCUACUUAUUAACCUAUAAAUAGAUCUAAAUCUUACACCUUUCGCAUCCAUCCUAAGAUCGAUUCACAAAACUCAUUUUAGUUUUAGUAUAUAAAAAAAAUAGUUAAUAAGAUUGGUGGAGGAUGGCCAACCAAUGCUACACAAUCACGUAGACAACAUUUUCUACGUAACUCGGCUCAGCUCAACCUAAUCCUUUACCAGUAAGCAUGAUGCUCGCACGUCUCUUUUGGCUUCGCUUUCGAGUUUCGACACAUAAUGGCCUACUCAAAUGAAACGCCCCUUAGCAGUCAUAUAUAUAUCUCAUAGAGGAUGUUAGAGAAAUGCGGGUGGUGUUGGAUGUGGCCCACGUGAUUUAUUCAAAACGAUCUAUAAAGAUACAAUCGGUUUAUUCAAGUCGAUCUAUAAAGAUACGGUAGAUCGAACGGUUAGGGUGUAUUUCGAUACGUCCUUGAUGGACGGACGUGAUUUAACAUCCUUACAUUAAGUUGUAUAUAAAUAUAAUAUAUGGGAGUCACGGUCGGUCUAAUCCUAACUCAAUUUUCUGUGACGGCUUCAUCUUCGGGAAUAAGAGAAUUAGACUCGAAACGUUCCGUUUUCUUGCAGAUUGCGAACGAGAACGAACCACGAGCAAAAAUUACACCUACAAAUCGGGUACAAAAAUCGAAAUCAUGACAGAAGGUACGAUUUAGUUUCUAAUAAAGUUUCAACAGGCGGAGCUUCUUAGACUUAGAGAUAACAACUAGAGGAUAAGAGACCUUACUCUACUCUCUGCUACGUACGUGGUGGGCGCACUACUAGAAAAUUAGUCAUUAGCGGCAUUUAUUUUUGCUGCUAAAUGAUCAACAAAUGCUGCUAAAAGUUUUAGCAGCAUAUGACACCAAAUGCUGCAUAUGCCAAUGUUGCUAAAAGUAUUAGCAGCAUUAAUUAUAAAUGCCGCCAAUAUAAAUCAAUUAGUGUCAUUAGGAAUAUGCCGCUAAAAGAGAUUAAAUACAAGUUUUAAAUUGUUUAUUAGCGGCACAUAAAUAAUAUGCCGUUAAUACAAAUAUCUGAUUUUAGACAUUAAAAUUUUAAAUUUGUAAUUUUAUUUUAUAUUUAAUUUUUUUGAGAUGCUACCCGCUUAAUUAUUUCUUUUUGUCUUAAACUUUGCUGGAAAUGUGAAUCAACUAGGUUUCGAACUUGAGACCUCGAGUACCAACAACCAAGCCCUUUGCCACUUGCGCUAGCGACUAUUAGUUAUGUAUAUUUUAAUUUUUUAUAUUUUAAGUCUUCUAUUUUAAAAUUUUAAAAUUUUAAUUUUAAAAUUUAAAUACUAAAUUUAAAUUUUUAAUUUUGAAAUAUGAAAUUUUAAGUUUCAAAAUUAAGAGUUUUAAAUUUGAAAUUUGAAAUUUAAAAUAAAUUUUAAAUUUUAAAUUUUAAAAAUUAUAUGUUUCGAAUUUUAAACUUUAAUUUUAAAAUUUUUAAUUCUAAAUAAAAAAGUAAUAUAUUAAUAAUUAUAUAUUAAUUAGUAAUGAUAUUUAGUAACAAGUGCUGCUAGUUUAUUAUAUUUAGCAGCAUUCACUAAUUUAUGCUGCUAAUUUAUCUUAUUUUGCAACAUUAAUAGCUAAAUAAUUAAAUCUAGCGGCAAUUAUCAUGUAAUGCUGCUAAAUAUAUUAAUUGACAUGAUUUAAAUAAAUAUUACGGAGCAAAAAUAUUGCGGGAUUUAGCAAUAAGUGUUGCUACUUUAUUACAUUUUGUGUCAUUUUUUAUAAAAUGCCGGAAACUUUGGCGGCAUUUACUAAUUUAUGCUGCUAAUUUAUUCUAUUUUGCAAUAUUAAUAGUAAAUUGCUGCUAAAUUAUUUAAUUUAGCGGCAUUUAUCAAGUAAUACCGUUAAAUAUAUUAAUUAGCGUUAUUUAAAUAAAUGCUGCGGAGUAAAUGCCGCUAAAUCAUAAAUUUGUAGUAGAGGCGAUUUGGAACGAGAGGGGCAAUGUGAUAUUUAGAGAUAGAAGUAUCAGGCUAUCAGCCCGAUACUUGUCCUACAGAGUAUUCGUCAUCUUUUGAUUUCGAGGAGGCGCACUGCCCCUAUGCCUCUUCUUGGGGCAAUCUUUUUUUUUUUUUUUUUUUUUUUUUUUUUUUUUUUCCGGAGCUUUAACUUGUCUCUAUCUGCUAAGUUUAUUUUCUCUAACGAAUAAAACAGAUAAUUUAUUAUCUAUCUUUUUUCUUAAAAGAAAACAAAUUGCAUUAGUUAGGGUGCAAAAUGAAGAAGAAGAAUGAAUCAAUCAUCCAAUACAUUGUAAAGUUGUUUACAGCAUAGCCAACAUGUUUAUAAUUAAUCGAACUUUACAUCAACUGUAUACAUAUUUAUUGAAUCAUUUGAUACAACAAAUUCGUUUGGAUGGAGAAUGAAGGUGACAAAUGAAUUAACUGUUCAAUUUAUUGACUAAAAAAGGAAAAAAGAAAAGAAAAGAAAAGAAGAACAAGCAAUACACAAGCUAUAUAUACGUGCAUUCAUGAAUCUCACGUCGAAGUAGUGACAUUAAUAAUGCUAAUGAACGAAGUAGGUGACGAGGAGAGCAACAAGCAUGAGAACAUAAGCAAUCCCUUGAUCGAUCGCGUUGCCGUCGAUCCGAUGUUUUUGUACCACCGCUGCCGCCGCAGCCUCCUCGUGGCCGUGCGCGAGCUGCGUGAACCCCGACAUGAACGCAACCGCGAUGAUGAACAGCGCGUACGCUCUCAUCGAACUCAUAUUCCAAUAUCUCUCAAGAAUUACUAAGGCNGCUUCCGCGUGGCCGUGCACGAAUUGCGUGAACCCCGACAUGAACGCAACCGCGAUGAUGAACAGCGCGUACGCUCUCAUCGAACUCAUAUUCCAAUAUCUCUCAAGAAUUACUAAGGCUUAUAAUGUUUGUAGCUAGCUCGGUGUGUGUGUGGUGGGAGUAGCAGUUGUUGUUGUGGUCCAGAGGGUUUGGUAUGUAGGGGUGUAUUUAUAGUUUUUGUGUGUGUGUGUGUGUGUGUGUGUGUGUGUGUGUGUGUGUGUGUGUGUGUGUGUGUGUGUGUGUGAGAGGAAGGGUGCUUUGGGAAUGGAGUGAGGGAUACGAAUUUGGAAGCCGGCCGUUGACCCGGAGAACGCGGAUGGCGGAAAAAAUUAGGGUUUCAAAGUAACGGUCAAAUGAGGGGUCAAAAGGGAGAGGAAAACAAAAAGAAGGUUCCUUGCCGUUGGAUCUCAUGAUCAGUGUUUUAUACGUGGGGUGAAUAUUAUUAAAUUUAAAAGUAUUUAACAUCGUUCUCUAUCAUGUUAAACUUUUAGUAAUAAAUAAUAGGGGCAAUUGCUUAUAUACUCCUGGAAAGUUUUCGACUUUUUGAUUUACCUUUCUUAGAAGGUUAAUAUUGAAAAUACCCUUUUUGCGUUCCAAUCUAUUUCUAAUAUACCCUAGAGUUAAAAUCUGUUAAUGAACUCCGUCAUUUCUGUGAAAUUACUAUUUUACCAUUUCAAAUAUACCCUUCUACCAUCACCGACUUUUCUUAUAUAUUUGCCCUUAAGUUAGGGGCACAAAAAGUAUUUUGCUUUUUGAUCUUUUCAAAUAUACUCUUCUACCAUCACCAACGUUUCUUAUUUGUCCUUAAGUUAAGGGUAAAAAUGGUAUUUUAUUUUUUUUAAACUGUGGUAGAUAUUUAACUCACGUUUAACCUAAGUUAACUUAACGGGUAGUAACUGCAGGAAUACUUUGAAAUAACGGAGGAACAUAUGAUAUUGGAAAGAAAAAAAAAAGGGAUAAAUGAGACAUUUUCGAAGUUUUAAGAGGUAUAUAGGUAAUUAUCCCUAAAUAAUAAUUAUUUCAUAUUAUUUAACAAAUAUGAGCCGUAGAUAAACCUGCAAUCCUCUCGGCUACUUACAAUCCGGCCGUUGGAUGCCAUGAACACCUGCUAUACCAUGUUUUUUAGGUGUAAUUAUAAGAACCUUGCAGCUUUUCUCGUGGGUCUAAUUUUUUUUUUUUUUUUUGAGAGAUAGGUAGCACGCUACCUACUUCGUUUAUUUUAUUUUAGAAAUAAAUUUAGCUGAAAAUAUGAAUCAUGCAACUCGGAUACGAAGUUGGGACCUCGUGUCCUUGCUAUUAACACUGCCAUCAAAAGUUAACAGAAUCUCCAAAUUAUUAAGUCUAUUUGAUACAAGGCUAAAGUAUAGCGUUGACAUCAUUUAAAUUUUUCUCUAUUUAGGGGGUAAAUUGAGACAAAAGGUAAAGUCGAGGGAGAGUUUUAUACUUGAAUCUUAUUUCCCAUAGAGAAAAUAUUCUGUCCAACAUCAUUUUAUUAUGAUACGCACAUUUGAAAACAACACACACGCCUCUUUUAUAUCGAUCUUAAUUAGGAAAAUACUACCUGUGAACUUGUAUAUAUAGAGAUCUAAAUCUUGCCCCUCCUGUAUCUAUCCUAAGAUUCAGAAAGCUUUUUGUUACGACAAACGUAUAAAUUGAAACGAAAAAUGACGAACACAAAAUAAACAAAGUACAAACAGAAAUAAAAGAAACACACAAAUUUACGUGGAAAAUCCUUUGUAGGAAAAAACCAAAGACGAGGAAGGAGAAAACUUCACUAUCGAAAUACAAUGUUCGAGUACAACCAACCACGAUCUGUCGCCUCUAGGGUAAAAAUGAAAAGGAAACUCUUAACGGUUUCGGAUCCGAUCCGUACCGAAAAGGAAACUCUUAACGGGCUCGGGCCGACACCGCUAUCCACCACAGACAUUCAUUUUUCCUUCACAAUUUGAUUUUUCAAAUUGGUCGCACUACGAAACUAUCGACGAGUCGAAAUUCCGAACUGAAGUCGAUUAUCAAUUUCGAGUCACAUCUAACACUCUUUUUAGUUUUAGUAUAUAAAAAAGCUAAUAAGAAUAGUGGACGACGGCCAACCAAUGCUACAGUUAAAUCUUUGUAUAAUUUUAUUACGGAUGGAGGACUGGGAGAUCCCUUAACCUCACAAAUCUGGAGAUCGAAAUAUGCUGGAAUGGUAAAAAUGAAAGUCUGUAUAUGGCUACUACUGAGAAAUAGAAUUGUUACUUUAGUCAAUCUUCAAAAGUGUGGUUAAUUGGCUCAAAAAGCAGUGCCAAUAAUCUUGAAACUUGUGAUUACCUUUUGUUUAAUUGCAUAUACUUUUUGUAUGAUCGUUGGCGCCAACUCAGCCUUCCGUCACUUUGAAUAUAGUUCGGCCCAAUCCGGCCUUAUAACAAGCUAACUUAGUCUCGUCCAACAAGGCAAGAUGCUAGUCCUUCAAAGCAUGCGAAAAUCAACUCCUUGACCUAUGACUCUAAUAGGUACCACUAGUGGGAUUGUUUGUGCUAACCAUUAAUUCUAAAAACUCGACCUAUUAUGUAGUGUUCCAAGAAAUUUAACUACCGAAACGAUUACAGUUUCGACGGCUCGUCGACAUUUCUCAUGAAUGUUAGGAUGAGUUAGAAAUGUUUGGACGUGAAAUUGACGUCACAAACAAAGUGAAAUAGAAAUUAUAGCUUUGUUACUCUCUAAUAAUUGUUCUCGUACUGUUUAUAGGUACUUCUAGUUGAUUCGUCAAGGCUUCUUAUGUAUGCAGAGAAUUUGUUGGUGAGCCUGGAUGAAGUUGGAACCCGGGGGUGUGACAUAUUAGAAGGAUACAACGAAUUCAAUUAAGACACGCAAACACAACGUCCAUAGGUCUCGAUUGUGACUUGAUCUUACUUGGCCUCUUGUCACUUCGAACAUGACUUAGGCUAGCCAGGCCUCUUGUCAUUUCCAAAGUAACUCGGCCCAACCUCAUAUUUUAUUGAUACAUACAUAAGAUGCUGGUCCCUUUAGGCUUCACUUUUGACACCUAAUCGUUUGCUCCGAUGAACCACCCCUUAGCACUCAUCUCAUAGAGGGCGUUAGAGGAAUAUGAGCGGAGAAGCUCACAUUUUUUUUUUUUUUGAGGAAAAGGUAGCAUAUUAUUUGCUUCAUUUAUUAGAAGAAUGAACUAGACUUUAGGGGUGACGUAAUAAACCUCGGUUGAAAAAAAAAAAACAUCAUUUCCACAGGGACAGGUUUAGAGUUUAUUGUUUAGAUUAGGAAGUAACUACUUAGCUACUUAAUCGGGAGGAUUUCCUCCCAUAAGACAUCAAGUAUCUGAUCUUAUUGACCGCUGACAGAGGGUCCGCAUUAGUCUUGCUAAAAGUCACACAAUUUCUGACAUUCCAGAUGACCCACCAGCAGGCUAUCAGUUCAGUCAGUCUAGUAUGAGUUGGUUGUGGAGAAGUUCACACUUAGAUAUAAUUACAACUAGAGGCUAAGAGGCCUUACGCUACUAUCAUCUAUGUGGUGGGUGAUUGGGAACAAGAAGGGCUAUGUGAUAUUCAGAGAUAGAAGUACAAGCCCAACUCUUGUCCGAGAGAGUAUUCCUCAUCUUUGAUUUCGUGGGAGGUGCACCGCCACUAAGCCUCUUGAGGCAAAUUUUUUUUUUUCUGACUUUUGUUUUUUUUUUUGUCUUUUUCUAGUGGACUAGAUUGUCUUCACUAACGCAGCUAAGUUUAUUUUCUCAAUGAAUAAAGCACAUAACUUAUUAUUUAUUUUUUUAAAAAAUNUUUUUUUUUUUUUUUUUUUUUUUUUUUUUUUUUUCUAGUGGACUAGAUUGUCUUCACUAACGCAGCUAAGUUUAUUUUCUCAAUGAAUAAAGCACAUAACUUAUUAUUUAUUUUUUUAAAAAAUAAAAACAAAUUGCAUUGGUUGGAGUGCAAAGAGAAGAAGAUGAAUGAAUCAACCAUCCAAUACUUUGCCUAAAAGGGAGUGAAAACAAAUUAUUUAAUAGCUUACAGUAUAACCAACAUGUUUAUUAAUCAAACUUAAUUUACAUCAACUGUGUACAUAUUUAUUGAAUCAUUGAUACAACAAAUUCGUUUGGAUAGAGAAUGAAGGAGAUGGAUGAAUUAUCUGCUCAAUUCAUUGACUAAAAUAGUAAAAAAAAUAAAAAAGAACAAGCAAUGCACAACCUAUAUAUACGUGCAUGCAUGAAUCUCACGUCCAAGUAGUGAUAUUAACAAUACUAAUGAACGAAGUAGGUGACGAGGAGAGCAACAAGCAUGAGAACAUAAGCAAUCCCUUGAUCGAUCGCGUUGCCGUUGAUCCAAUGUUUUGGUAGCGCCGCCGCCGCCGCAGCCUCUGCGUGGCCAUGCGCGAGCUGUGUGAACCCCGACAUGAACGCAACCGCGAUGAUGAACAGCGCGUACGCUCUCAUUGAACUCAUAUUCCAAUAUCUCUCAAGAAUUACUAAAGUUUAAUUAUAUAUAGUUUUGAAGCUCAGCGAGAGGAUUAAUGGAGAGGGAGGAGUAGUAGUUGUUGUUGUGGUGGUGGUGGAGAGGGGUUGGUACGUAGAGGGUGUAUUUAUAGUAAUGUAUUUUGUUUUGUUUUCUUAUUUAUUUUUAUGGGUUUUUUUUUGAAAAAAAAUAAAUUAAGGAAUGUGUUUGGGAUUGGAGUGAGGGAUACGAAGUGGAAGCCGGCCGUUGACUGGAGGAAUUAACGCGGACGGCAGGAAGCGCGGGAGAAAGUGGGGGCGGGCAGUCCUAGGAAUGCGAAUGCGGCGAAGCCAGAAUUUAAAAUUUAGAAAAUCAUAAUUUAAAUUGGGUAAAUUUUAAAUAUUACUUAUGUGGUAUUGUAUUUUCUCACUUUACUAUCCUAUGAUUUAAAGUGUAUCAAUUUGGUAUCCUGUGGUUUUAUUUUUCUCUUUUCGUCAGCCCCUCCGUUAACUUUUCGUUAAAUUAUAUAUAAAAAAUUUCAGAUAUUAAUUUCACCUAUAAUUUAUCGAAUAUUCACUUUAGUGCCCUUUAGUUUUAACUUUGUCAUUGAUUUAAUGAAAGAAAUUUAGUAUAGGGGAUAACAAAAAGAAAAAAAAUAAAACCAUAGGAUACGAAAUUGAUACACUUUAAACCACAGAGUACUAAAGUGAGAAAAUACGAAACCACAGAGAUGAUAUUUAAUGUUUUUCUAUUUAAAUUUAAUAGAAAAAAAUUUGAUCUCAGAUAAUAAGCAAAAGCGUCGACAAUGUGCUCAAAGAGAGGAGUAGGGCUAGAGGUGGUGAAGGGAAUGGGCCGAAGACUGAGGGGUCCAAACGAAAAAUUUGGAGCACAAGUGUCACGCCCCGGGUUAAACAUUCCCCGGGCACGCCGACAAAUCCGCCGUAUACAAAGAAAUUUUUCCUGUAUACGAAGCGAUAGCUGUACCUGUAAAUCAAACACUACUACGAACAGUAGUAGAGAGCUGCUAGAGAAAACAAAGUUUCAUAUACAUAGUUCAGAUCCAAAANGUUGCACGGAGUCCGUUUUGCGCCUAUUUGACGCCAACGCGACUCGGACUUGUCCCGACACUCUCCAGAGCUGUCGACAAGCCUCCACAGUCAAACACCAGGGAUCUCACAACAAGAUUGUAAAAGAAAAUUUUCAAGUUGGCCCCUUAAAACUAAAAUUUAUGGUGUAUGAAUAUGCAGAUGAAUUAGGUGCAUGCAAUAAUUUUUACUUUGAAACAGUAUCAACAUGAAAUAAUUAUAUUGAAGGUAUAGGGACUAAAUCAAAAUUUUGUUGAAGGUUCAGCUAGGGUAGGAAACAUUGAAAUUAAAAGUUUGAUGAUCAAAAUGAAAUAUGAUUUGAAGUUUAGGGACUACUAAUUACCAACCGUUCCUACAGCAAGUGGCAAAAAGUUUGGUGAUUGGUACCUGAGUCUCAAGUUCGAAUUCUAGUUGAUUCAUAUUUCUAGCUAAAUUUAUUUUUAAAUGAAAUAAACGAAACGGGUAGCGUGCUACCGAUCUCUCAAAAAAAAAUAAAAUAAAAUAUACUUCUGUUAUUUGGUACGUUGCGCUAUAAAUUACAAAUGCUCGUAACUCUAGUUUUCCGAAACAGCAUAAUUGGCUUCACCUUGAAUAGUAACAAAGCCAAUUAGGGGAGAGAGAAACAGAAAAAAUAAUAAAAAAUUAACUACAUAUUGUAUCUUUUUUUCUUCAUUUCAUGUGCUAGUGUGGAAAUUUUUGGUAAAAAAAUUUCCAAAAAAGCUAUAACUCCAAAGUUAUUCGUUUUUUAUCACAAAUUAACAACAGUAAAACAUAAUUUUUAUCCGAAUUUGAGUUAAUUUUUUUUAACUUGAAAAUGAAUUACAUGCAAACAAAUAGGAUAAAACUAAGGAAAGUUUUUAUGUACUGCUAAUACAAUUGAGAAAAACUCAAUUAUUUCUUAUUGCAGUUCUGGGUAGAUGAACCUCUUUUGUGGCUGAUGGGCCAGGGGUGUUUAUUUUUAAAAUCAUUAUUUAUCAUUAGUAAUCAUACAUUUUAGGGUAAAUUGCAUGUUUAUUCUCAAACUACGAGGCACGCGACACUUUGAUUCUCAAAUUUUAAUUUAUUAUAUAAUUUCUGACUCGAAUUUUUAAAAUUAUUACAAUUUAGUCUCACAACCUAAUUUAGUUAACUAAUUAAAUAUUGACGGAUCUAUGAUAUAAAAAAUUUAUGUAAUAUUGUAAUUAUUAGAGUACAAUCAAUCACAAUAUUAUAACAUCACUUAUAUAUAUAUCAAUUGUUUGUCAAUAUUUAAUCAACUAAAUUAACUAGGUUAUAGGACUUAAUUGCGUCAUUUCUGAUAGUUUGAGCCAAAAUUAUAACAAACUAAAGUUUAAGGACCAAAAUGUCACCCCCGCCCCAUAGUUUGAAGGGCCAAAUGCGCAAUUUACCCUAUAUUUUGCAAGAACCCAAAGCAAAUCUAAGCAUAGCUACACAUCCCAAAUCUGCAUGAGCCCCCCUGCUUGCACUUGUUCUUGCAACAUCCACAGUUCAAGGGAUCAGACAUUACAUUCAGACAGCGACCGCCGCAGCAAGUCUCUCCGUAACUGCAUCUCCGACCGCACUGCCCGCAGUUCAGCAAGUUGGUAUCCACAUUUACGCACCGCCCCGAGCAGCAGUCCGGGCCAGGACUGCUCGGCCCACGACACACUCUGGGAAAGACAUUGCAUGAUAGUGGACCUCGCAGAUUCAUAGAUUUUAUUGACGAAUUUUGAUUGCGAGUAAGAUCAUUCGCAAUUAAUGGAGAUCUGUUUGUUUGGUGUGGCUCGUCUUUAAACUUGUUGUUGUCAUCGUUGCAAAGAGCGGUGGCUAAAACGAUAAAAAGUAAUGCUAAGAUGAGGAUUAGCUUCAUAAUGUUGUACUACAAAAUAUAUAGAAAAGGUUGAUGAGGAGGGAGAGAUGUUGAGUUUGAGUAUUUAUAGAGGGGGGAGUUAAGAGUUGGUUCAAGUAAUGUAUUAAGUUAGGCCUCUCAAUGGAAAGCUCAAAAUGGUAUAUAUGAGAAGUAUAUUUAUCCAUGGAUUGGGAAGAUGUGCAACAUCUCUCAUGCAUGAUAUUCUUUACGUGUUAAUGCAACAUUAACUAAAAUGAAGAGUUAUGAUCACAAUUUUUACAGCUAAGAGGUACACUAAUGUCUUAUCUGAUUUGCAUAAUAAUUUUCAAAGUAAUUCUAAAUUGGUGCAACAAUUAAUUAAAGAUUCUAUUCUAAGAUGGAUCUAUGCUCUAGUGCAUUCAUUUACAUUCGCGGACCUUACAUGUGAGUGUAGUGAAGGAUGUAUGAACAAAUUAAAUUUAAAGGCUCAAUAUCCAUCACCUAUCACUUAUUAAAUGAAAAAAGAAAAAAAGAUUAUAACAAUGGCACUGCAUGUGGGGACUUGUUAAUGUAGAGCUAGUAGCCGGCAGUUUAGGUUUUGAUUAGACUUAGACAUUGAGUAUGGUGAGCUAUUAAAAUCUAACUAAAAACUGUACUGUUAUAUUCUAAGGCCCCAUUUGGUUCGGGGUAUAAACGGGGAUAACGAAAGUUAUUCCCUCUAUUCUGCUAAAUGGGAUGAUGUUUUAUCGGAAUAUUUUAUUCUGCUAUUCUGCCAAACGGGGAUAACGAAAGAUUCAAAUUUAACUUUUAAGAGAAGUUAGAAUUAAGAUAUCAACACAUACAACCGAUAAUAAAAAAUAAUAUUAUUAAGAGAAAUUAGAAUUAGGGUUCUAGGAAUGGGUAAAAUAAAAUGGGUAUUCAUGCACUAUUUUUAUUUUAAAAUUUUUUUAAAGAAAUUAUAUAUGUGCCUACCCGUAGGUACCUGUGGAUUGCUCAAAAUAUUCAUAAUUUAAUAAAUAUCCAACCCAUUUUAUUCAUAAUUUUUUUGAUAAUAAAAAUUAGUAUCAAUACCAGCCUGCUGUAUUGCCACACAACACCCACUCAAAUAUUUUUGAAUGAUUCACUGUUCUAUUUUCCAUUCAAAUACAAUUCAAUUUUAUUUUUUAUUUUUAUUCCAAACAUGAACUAAAUAUGCCGUAAUAGCUAGCUCAUCAGCAACUUUAUUUUCUUUUGCACCUUCUAGAAAUAUUUUUUUUUCUUUAAUUUAAUUAUCCACAUGAUUUUUCAUACUACCAAGUUAUGAUUGAUUAAGAACACUCUUUCAAUAUAGAAGGCAAUUUAAAAUCUUAUAUAAAUAUUAGAUUUAUUGUUAUAGUUGAGAAGCAAAUGAUGAUUGGAAAAAGCUUAUUCUUAGAUAAAAAUAUUUGUAAGUUUCAUACUAAUCUAAAAUUUACACUAUUGCAAUUAUAUUCAUUGGAUAUCUCUCAUAUAUAAUUUUCAUAGCCUAGAGAACUGAUUUAUGUAAUUAAGAAUCAUCUAAUUAUACAAAUAAUAUGAAUCCUAAUAAUUUAUAGAUGUAAAAAUUAUAAAAAUAUGAUAAGUUAAACUUGUGGCUAAGAUUCGAAGACGUAAUGAAAAAGAUACUAAGAAUUUAAAUUAAUCGCGAAUUGCUUGUGCAUGAAUGCAUAUAUCUCACAAUUACAAAAAUUUCUCAUGGAAAAAAUCAACUAAGAUACAAGUAAUACUAAUUCAACUACUUAUAUUUUAUAUAUAUGCAUAUUAUACUCAUGCAUUGUAAACUAAUUCAUUUCGUUUAUGUUGCUCAAACCAUUUUAUACUAGCUACGAGUCUAAUCACAAAUAAAAAUGAGGUAAACCACAUGGGGCAAUCUAAAUUUUUUAGAAAUUAUGCGGACAAAAAUUUAAAAUUUAAAAUUUAAAUAAUAUUUGAAUAAUAUUUUAUAAAUUUGAAAAAUAUUUCUAUUAAAAUUUGAAGUUUAAAAUUAUUUUUUAAAAUAAUUAAAUUAUUGUAUGGAAAGGGAGCUCAGCUGUGUUGAGCUGCGUUGAGCUUGGCGGGCAUGGCCAUGCGGGGUCGUGCCAUGCUGGGCCGGGCCGGGCCGAUGCCUAGGCCCGGUCCGAGCCCGACAUGAUCGGUCUUGGGCCGUGCCGGGCCGAUAGGCUAAAAAUGGUUGGCCCAACACGGCCCAGCAUUUCGGAUCGGAUAGGUCUGACACGGAUUCUACAGUACCCGUGCCGUGCCUAGUGACGACCUAGAGCUGUACCGAGCCGGACGUCCCGAUUUUACAUCCCUUACUCCCUCAAAUUCUAAUUUUUUUUUAUUUUUCUGUGUGUGGAAUUAAUAGACUUUCAUUGAAAAAUAUUGAAAGAGUUUUCGAAUUUAAUGAUAAUUUUACUAAAUUAUAUGACUUUAAUAAUUUUGGGUACUGAAGGAUAAAUUUAAAAUUUUUGAAUAAUAGCCAGGAGUAUAUAAGCAGAAACUCCUAUUUUCUACAUAAAUAAAAUAGAAAAAUAAUUAAAUAUUCCUGACGUAACGUCAACAUCACUGUUAAGUCCCCUGGUUGAACUAGUGAUUCUUAAUACAGUAAUAUUUUCCAGAUUGUUGUUUGGCCAGAUUUUUUUUUAAAUAGAUUACUUUUUUACUACAUCAAUGAACAAAUCACAAAUUCAACAUAAGCAGAACACUCUAUUGUACUAUAUAUAUAUAUACUGAUAUCCGACUUUCUUGUUUCAAGCUUCAAAUAAAGUAACUUUUGAAACUCACAUAAAUUGAACUGAAACAACAAGCGGAAACGAAUCAAACUUACAUUUUUAGAUCGUUAUUUGACCAACAUUUUAAAACAUUGCGUUUUACUACAUUAAUGAACAAACCACAGAUUCAACACAAGUAGGACGCUCUAUUAUACGAUACUGAUAUCGUACUUCUUUAUUUCCAGCUUCAAAAAAAGUAACGGUCGAAACUAAGUAGAACCGAAACAACAAGCGGAAAUGAAUCAGAUAUAUGGGUAGAGAGGAGCUGUGGCAAUACCACAUAAUCCUUCUUUUGCAGCGACAUCUUUUGCUAUUCGCAUGUAUCCACUUUCGCCCCAUUUGGGGCCGGCUGAGUUCUUCAGUAUCCAAUACUUUUUCCCCGAUUCCUCACCGUAGCCAACUACGGCGACAGUGUGAGUGACAUCGGGCGAACAAUCUUCAUCAAAAAUACCACCUUUGUAAUGUUGCCAAGUUGUGGCGUUAACUGCGACCGUCACCGGUUGGUCAUUCACAGCUUUCAUAAGCUCAGCUUCGUUGUUUCUCGUAACCAACCUGUAGCCAGUAAUGUAAGCUGCAUGAUCUGAUUCCUUGGUUUUGUCACACACCCCUUUAGAUGCCUUGUAAGGGUAGUUAGCCUCGGUCGUCAAGCCUUUAUUUGCGAUGAUAUAAAGGAAAGCUUUUAAUCGGCUACCGCCCGAGCAGUCACCACCGUUGGAACAAUCGAGAACUUGCUGUACUGAAAGAGAUUUUAGUUCGCCUUUCUUGAUCUUGUAGAUGCUCUCAACUGUCGCUACCACAGCGAAUGCCCAGCAGCAAGCUAGUUUUGUAUUAAGUGACACAUUCAUUAGAAUAUAUCAUAGAUGUAAGUAAGGUUUUAAGUGUUCGUCGGCACGGCUGCAUCCCCGUGCCGUACCGUUCUAACAAGAUACCGGCACAAUACAGACUCCGUGCCGAUGGCACAGCUUAAAACCCUCUAUUUUUUAAAUUAGUAAAUAAUUUUUUCAACAAAGUUCAAAAGAUGUGAUAAAAAGACAUAAUAAAUAGUUAGAAUAUUUUGUUGCUAAAGAAAAUAAAUAUUUCAUGCUAUUAUGUGUCGGCACAUAAGAAUUUUUUUGACCGGCACGCAUCAACACGUCUCGGCACGCACCGUGUUGGUAAGUUUUCAGUAUGACUCCGUGCCACGACACUUAAAUCUUUGAAUGUAAGAGAAAGUUAACAUACUUAAUUAGUUAAUAUUGGUCGAUUCAGUAUGUUUUUACCAAAAGAUUUUAUUAUACUACAGGUGAAAAUUCUUACCGCAGUCUCCUUGGUCCUUGACUUCAGUUACGGCACCUUCGGUCCUCCAAUCAACGGUGGCUCUCAAGGCCAUGUUUUUGGUAUGACCCCGUGUCACAACACUUAAAUCUUUGAAUGUAAGAGAAAGUUAGCAUGCUUAAUUAGUUAAUAUUGGUCAAUUCAGUAUAUUUUUACCAAAAGAUUUUAUUAUACUACAGGUGAAAAUUCUUAAGUUACAGCACCUUGGGUCCUCCAAUCAACGGUGGCUCUCAAGCGGGUGUUUUCGUACUCGGCUUCCACUAGAACGGUCUCUAUAUCUGUUGGGAUGUCCUGCUCUGCAGUUCCUACAACGUACGUAUUUGCAUACUCCUCGUUUGUCAUAUCGCUAAACCGGUUAACUCCGAGGGUGUACGAGCGCCCGCCGACUUUGUUGAAUUCUUCAAUGUACUUCACGUUGUUCUUAAAGAUCUCGUACCGUUGCUGCUUCUCCUUCGCAUUCGCGUACGUUCGACCGUGUUCGGACAUCCAAUCUUCGAACAUCGUCAUCGUCGGCCCGUCCAUUCUAGUGUUCCAAGAGCUGAACAACAAAGAGAAACACAACAAGACAAGAGAUGAGCCGAUAAUUAAGCAAAGAUUGGAAUGUGAAAGCCAUAGCUACAAUGUAUACUAUACUUAGAAGUUGGAGCUUGCGUUUGUGAGGUUAAACUCUUAAGAUUAGGCUCGUAUAUAUAGAGAUUUGGCGAAGACAAUGUGAGGGGGAAGGCAAUGUCAUCGUAUAUAUCCUCCUCUGUGGAAAAUCAUAUUUUAAUUUGUACUCCACAAUGAGUAGGUACGACUAGGUUAUACAAAUUAAGUCGACUUUCAAUAUUGUGUGAUGUUAGUCAUAGGAUUACCGUGUGCCCCUCUUUUGGUUUUUCCCAAAUUAUAUAUAUAUAUAUAUAUAUAUAUAUAUAUAUAUAUAUAUAGUUGAGCUAGAAUAUUCUCAAAAAUACUAUUACGGUGGUGCUUUUGAGUUUUUAGCCAUUGGAUGGAGAGAUGUGAGGUUGAGAUGAUGGUGGUUGGUGAUGGUAGCUGGAAUAGUGUUUAAUCCAUGGACUAUUAGUAAUCAAGGAGUAGAUCCAAUGGCUAAAAACCUAGUAGUAUUAUGGGUGAUAUUCUAGCUCAAUUUUANAGUGAGGCUACUAUGCUAUCCGAAGCACGGAGCCUUCCGUGCUUCCAGCUCGUUUUCGAUGUUGCGACUUUCGAAUCGUCGAUCGACUUCGUUAAACUUGAUCUAGAGUUUUUGAAGUAUCUAGAAAAUAAAUUUUAUGAUUUUACGAUAUCAUUUGCCUAGUGAACGAAGGGGCUCAAAAUCAACGGCUGAAAAUAAAAAUCUUACAAAAUGUAAUAAUAUGACAUUAAAAUUUUAAAUCAAAUAUAUUAAUCUUGUUUUAUAUAGUAUAAAGAAUUUUCUAUUAAAAUUUCACGUGAUUUGGAUAUUUCUACACCGUUAAACUUGCAAACGGCUCACAACGGCCAUUGAAAUUUGUUGAUUUUGAGCCCAUUUGGUCACUAGGCAAAUGAUAUCAAAAAAUAAUAAAAUUUAUUUUCUAGGUACUCCAAAUACUCUAGAUCAAGUUUAACGGAGCUGAUCGACGAUUCGAAAGUCGCAACAUCGAAAACGAGCUGGAAGCACGGAAGGCUUCGUGCUUCCGAUAGCAUAGUAGCCUCACUCAUAUAUAUAUAUAUAUAUAGAAUUAGGCUGGAAUACUAUUAAUAGUAAAAUGAUCUUUUUGCUAUCAAGUUUUUAACCCUUGGAUGAAAAAUUGUAGGGUUAGGAUGAUAUUAGUCGGUUGUAGUAUUUAAUCCAAUGGUUAGAAAUAAUGAAAAGAUAUGAUCCAAAGGCUAAAAAACUGGUAGCAACAAUGGAUUUUGCUACUAAUAGUAGCCCAGUCCAACUCUCUCUCUCUCUCUAUAUAUAUAUAUAUAUUUUUUAAAAAGUGAUGAUAGAAAUUUUGUAAUCAAGAUCGAGAGUAUAGAUCUUGUUUUAAAUACUUUAAAGAAUUUUGUAACAAAUAUUCCAUUGAUUUGGAUAGUUUUACACCGUUAAAGGAGAAAACGCCUCAUAUUUACUAUUAUAAUUACAAAAUUUGAAACUCUUUGAUCAUUAGGUCAACAAUGUCGAAAAGAUUUGAAAUUUGGUUUCUAGAUACUUCAAUGGUAUAGAUCAUGUUCAACGAUGCUGAUCGUCGAUUUGAAAGUUCUAUCAUUGAAAACAAAUGGGUGGCAACAGAGCCAUUUGCUAUUGAUCGUAUUCCAGCUCAUAUCUCUCUCUCUUUCUCUCUCUCUCUCUCUCUCUCUCUCUCUAUAUAUAUAUAAUUAUGCUAAUAUACUAUUGAUAUUAUCAAGGCAUUUGGUACUAUCAAGUUUUCCACCGUUGAGUGAAAGAAUGUGCGGUUAGAAUGAUAAUGAUCUUCUAGAAUUGAGUAGGUGGUUAGUUAAAUAGCAUAAUCUAACAGGUGAAAAUGAUCAAAGAAUAAAUCUAACGGUAGAAAACUCGAUAGUAUCAAAAAUAUUUUUCUAUAAUCAGUUAAUCACAUUUUUUUAUUUGAGUAAAAAGUAAAAUAAAAAUACUUUUCUAAUAACUAUGAUGCAACAUGUGAAUCUAAAGAGGGAACAAUAUAUCUUAUUGAUUAGAGAUAUCACAUUAGUAAUAUAACUGAUAUGUUUUAAAUUUUUCUCUCCGAGAGACACGGAGUCAAUGGUCGAUUAUCACAUGCUAAAUCAUGUAAUUAAGGACCAAUGUGAUUUCACAUUGGCACAAUGCGGUUUCACAUGCUUUUGUUUCCGCUGCAGCAUUUGUUAAUUGCAGUUAUCAACACCACGUCAUGCCAUUGUUGUCUCGUCUGCAACAAGCGCAUAAAAAAUUUUGUAAAAACAUAUAAAAUUUAUUAAAUUAUGUAUUAUUUUGAAUCGAUUAUCUCAUUUUUUUAAAAUUUUGAUUUUAUUAUUGUUUACCAAAGACUAGCUUUGAUAUUUACUUACCUCAUGAGCAAUUCGGAUUGGAUUCUCCGCAGGGACUCAACCUCCUCAAGGAGGCUAUGUUUGGGUGCAUGUUUGGAUCGGACCAAAUUUUGCAACUUUAUAAACUUAUUGACUCGAUUGAUUGUUGCGUCCAGAAAUUAAGACUGUGAUUUCGGCUAAUAAUCUAAAAGAAUAAUUAUCUAUAUACCCUCAUACGUUUGAAAAUACUCGAUUUAUUCCUUUUUUUUUCUUUCUAAAAUACCCCUCAUAUGUUCCACCGUUAUUGUAAAAUAUCCCCGCAAUUAUCUCCUGUUAAGUUAACUUGGAUUAAAUAUGAGUUAAAUAUUUAUCAUAGUUAAAAAAAAUUAAAAUACCAAUUUUGCUAUUAACUUAAGGAUAAAUAAGAAUUGUUGGUGACGGUGGAGAGGUAUAUUUGAAAAGAUCAAAAAUCAAAAUACUUUUUGUGCCCCUGACUUUAAGGGAAAAUAAAAAAAGUCGGUGAUGGUGGAAGAAUAUAUUUGAAAGGGCAAAAUAAUAAUUUUUUACAGAUAACAGAGUUCAUUAACGAUUUUAAUUUUAGAAGUAUAUUUGAAAUAGGUUAGAACGUAAAAAGGAUAUUUUUUUUCAAUAUUAAAUCAGAAAGUCGGAAACUUUAUAGGGGNGAAUGGUAUAUUUGAAAGGGCAAAAUAAUAAUUUUAUACAGAUAACAGAGUUCAUUAACGAUUUUAUCUCUAUGGGUAUAUUUGAAAUAGGUUAGAACGUAAAAAGGAUAUUUUCAAUAUUAGUCUUCUAAGAAGGAUAAAUCAGAAAGUCGGAAACUUUUCACGGAUAUAUAAGCCAUUGCCCCUAAUCUAAACUAUUGCCGGAAUCGGAAUGAAAACUUACCAAAGAAAAAAAACUAGAUUUACCUAUCUGCUUAACUCGCUCUCAACCUAAAACUAUCGAAAAUUAUAAAAUGCUAAAAACUAUCUAGCUACUAUUUUUCUAAAUAUCUCGAGCUGUCCAAAUUCGUAUUCUAUAUAUCAAAUACCCUUUUAGUUUGUAAUUUGAGUCAGUAAAUAAUAUUUUAGCUCCAAAAUCUAAAUUGUUGUUUAAUUUAAUAAAAUUACAAAAAUUAUAAAAAAUAUACUAACCAUAAUUGUUAAAAUAAACGAUAUAUUCAUAUUUAGAUAAGUCACCGUUUUCUUCGCUUUUGUAUGCUUCUUUUGUGCUAGCAAUAUUUGAUAAUAUAAAUAAUCAGAUAUAACUAUCGCGAGUCGAAAGAAACAUCCUGGAUAAUGCGUAAGAGAGAUAUCUAUAUUUAUACUAGUUUAAUAAUUGUGAGUGUGAGAGGUUAGGUGGGCCUGCUCUACUCUACAUUUGAGAGCGUUUAAUUUGUACAUUCCAAAGCUUUUUUGAAGUACUUAUAAAUUGAAUUUUUUAAUUUUCCCGAAUCAUCAUAAUAUAAAAUCCAUCAAGCAAUGAUAGAAUAAACAAUUAAAAUUAAUUGACAAAUGAGGCCCUAAAUUUUAAGAGUACGAGUAGGGACGUUAAUGGGUAUGGAUAUCCGAAAUUUUAUCCGAAUCUGAACCCGAAAGAAACAGAUAUAUCCGAUGCUAAAUGGAUAUGGAUUCGGAUACGGAUAUCAAAAAUAGAAACCCGAUGGAUGUGAAUUCGGAUAUGAAUUUUGACUGUACCCCACUCGAAUCCGACCCGAACCCAAAUUUAUCUUGAUUAUAUAUAUAUAUAUAUAUAUAUAUAUAUAUAUAUAUAUAUAUAUAUAUAUAUAUAUAUUCCAAACAACUGUUCUGUACUCUACAAGAUUGAUCACGAACAUCGACUUCAAAUUCACGAAUUGCAGGUUAUGGGUGUAACAGUUGAUAUGAUUAAUGUAUACGUCGGAAUCAUGAUACUGUGAUAUGUAAAUCAAUCUCACUCAUUAUUGAAUAUAGAUGCCUAGAUGAUUUUAAUUUUUCCAGAUCAAAUGGUAAGGAACCNUUAUGUGCGAAAAAAAAAAGUCACCUUUCGUACUCUCAUCCUAUGAAUUAAAGAGCCCUAACUUACUUCGUCAUUUUUUAAGCUCACAUCUAAUUAAGUACGUACGAUUCAAGGGGGAGGAUGGAUCUCUGCAGUUGUCUAGCCUAAGCCCCGCCUAAAAAUUCUUGGGCUUAGGCUUGGGCUGAGGUUUAGGCUUUGGGUUUAGGCUUGGUCUUGGGCUUGGCUUGCCUAAAAUUUUUAAGUAUAGGUUUAGGCUUGGGCUGGUUUUUAGGCUUUAGGCUUAGACUUGGGCUUGGGCUCUUAAACUUGGGUUUUGUUAAUAAAGAAAAAAGUUAUAAAGUUUUAUAUAAUAUAAUUUAGAUUUGAAAAUUUAUGUUUAAGUUUGUAUUGUAGUUUAUAUAUAUAUAUCUCUCUCUCUCUCUCUCUCUCAAACCAACCCUAUGAUAACUAUCCUUUUACAGGAAAAACGAUUCAAAAAUCGGAAACCUAGUUGAGAAAAGUAGUAAAGAUUAGUAACCUAAUUUAUGAUAUUGGAUCACCCUUGGUGAGUUGGGAUCCCCUGGUGAGUUGAGAUUGCCUGAUUAUAGUAGGAAUGGGAUGUUAUAUAUAUAUAUAUAUAUAUAUAAUAUAUUGAAUAUAAAUAUUAAAAAUAUUAUUCUUUAUUAUAUAUUUUAAUUUUUUGAGAAAUAACGGUUGUUUCACAUUGUUUAACAUAAUAUAUAUUUCUAAAUAGUCUUGAGAAGGUGGUAAGUUUGAAACAAUUCCGCAGACAAAUUUGAUUUUGUGUUUUUUUAUCUUAUCCUUUUAGCUCAAGUAGUUUAUAUUUAAUUACUUGAGUUGGAUUGUCUCACUGGCUAAAUUUUGUUUAAGUGGACUUCUAUUAAUUAACUAAUGAAAAGUUGACCUGUAGAGUUUAAUUAAAUUGUGAUUAUAUUAAUGAGGAGUGUGGAAAAUUGAAAAAACAAGCACACCCAAAAAUAGUUGACAUGAGUGCUCAAAUUAAAACUACAGAAGAAUAAUUCGCUUAAAAUGAACAAAUAUAACGCUCAUCGAUAUCCAUUAUGACUCGUCUAAUCAUUUUUAUGUACGCACUACAACAAAAACGGUCUAUAGCGUAUAGGUCAAAAAAGUGCUGCUGGCUAAAUUUACCGACACUUUUGUAAAGUGUUGCUAUAUGUAGGGUCGCUAGAUAUAUAGUGACAGUUAAAGAGUGUUGCUAUAAUCUAAAAGAGUGCUGCUAAUUUACCAACAUUUAUUUAAGCAUCUAGCAACCGCCGGAACUCUACCUCGUUGGCUGCGGUGGCGGAGGAGGACGAGAGGAAAUGAUCUUCGUCUAGAAUUUCAGUCGAUUGAGUGAGGGGAGAAGGGAAAAUGAUAAUCGAUUUUUAUUUUCUCUUUCUUUCUUUUUUCUUCUCUGUUUGUAAUCGGGCCGAAUAAGCUAAGUGGAGUGGGUUGAGUAGAGUACCCUUUUAUUUUUAGUUGGAUUGGAAUUUAUAUUUAGGCAUUAGUAGGAUUUUUUUAAGUUUUGGCAUAAAUGUGACACUUAUACAAAAGUAUCUCAAACAUGUGUCGUUAUAACCUAAUUCUGUUGUAGUGACGCCACUUCAAAUACAACUUGACUCAACCUGGUCUUUACCUUGGUGGCUGGCCCAAAUAUAUAAUUACAGAAUAUUAUUCAAUAUCUGACUUAAUGAAAAAUUAUAUGGAUCGAGACCUCCUCAACUAUAUAUAAUUAAUCCAUCUUAAUUAAUAUAAAUUCUUUUACGUACCUUUGCUUUCUUUUUUUUAGAGGCAAUUUCUUUUACUUUUAAUUUGUUUUAGUUUGAGUUAUUCUAAUUAACUUAACAGGAGAUAACUGCGGGAGUAUUUUAUAAUAAUGGUGAAACGUAUGAAGAGUAUUUUAGAAAGAAAAAAAAGUAGAGAUAAAUCGGAUAUUUCCAAACGUAUGAGGGGUAUAUAGGCAAUUAUCUUUUUAAAUUAAUUACAAAUUGCUUGUGCAAGAAUGAAUUUAUCUCAUAAUUACAAAAAUUUCUCAUGGAAAAAAUCAACUAAGAUACAAGUAAUAUAUACUAAUUCAACUACUUAUAUUUUAUAUGCAUAUUAUACUCAUGCAUUAUUGUAAACUAAUUAAUUUCGUUUAUGUUGCUCAAUGCAUUUUAUAUUAGGAGUCUAAUCACAAAAAAGUUAAGUUUAAUAAAGAGCUAAACAACAUGAGACAAUCUAAAUUUUUUAGAAAUUAUGCAGGCAAAAAUUAAAAAUUUAAAUUUUAUAUUUUUAAAUUUGAAAAAAAAUAUUUAUAUUAAAAUUUAAGUUUAAAAUUAUUUUUUAAAAUAAUGACAUUAUUGUAUGGAAAGGGAGCUCAGCUGUGUUGAGCCAUCUUGAGCUUGGAAGGCAUGGCCAUGCGGGUCGUGCCGUGCUGUGUCGGGCCGGGCUGACGCUUAUGUCCGAUCCGAGCCCGACAUGAUCGGACCUGGGCCGUGCCGAGCGAAUGGGCUGAAAAUGGUUGUCCCAACACAGCCCAUCAUUUCAGUCGGAUAGGUCUGACACGGAUUCUACAGUACCCGUGCUGUGCCUGACUAAGGGCCAUACCGAGCCGGACGCUCCGUUUUACAUCUCUAUUCUCCCCUCAAAUUCUGAUUUUUUUUUUCUAUGUGUGUGGAAUUAAUAGACUUUCGAUAACAAAUAUUGAAAAUGUUUUCGAAUUCAUUGAUAAUUUCACUAAAUUUUUUGACUUUAAUAAUUUUGGGUACAGAAGGAUAAAUUUAAAAUUUUUGAAUAGUAGCCCGGAGUAUAUAAGCAAAAAUUUCUAUUUUCCACAUAAACAAAAAAAUAAUUAAAUAUUCAUGACGUAAUGUUGACGUCACUGUUAUGUUCCCUAGUUGAAUUAGUGAUUCUUAAUCGAGUAAUAUUUUCAGAUCGUUGUUUGACCAGAUUUUUUUUAAAAAAAUAUUAAUCAGACAUAGUUUAGAUAAACAUUAAUGAACAAACCACAUAUUCAACAUAAGCAGGGCUCUCUAGUAUACAAUACUGAUAUCAUACUUUCUUAUUCCAAGCUUCAAAUAAAAGUAACUGUUGAAAGAGAUUACAUAAAUAGAACUGAAACAACAAGCAGAAACAAACCAGACAUACAUUUUCAGAUCGUUAUUUGAUCAGAUUUUUAACACAUUGCAUUUUACUAUAUUAAUGAACAAACCGCAAAUUUAGCACAAGCAGCAUACUCUAUUAAACGAUACCGAUAUCGUACUUUUUUAUUUCAAUCUUCAAAUGAAAGUAACUGUUGAAACUCAUAUCACUAGAACCGAAACAACAAGCGGAAAUGAAUCAGAUAUACGGGUAGAGAGGAGCUGUGGCAAUACCACAUAAUCCUUCUUUUGCAGCGACAUCUUUUGCUAUUCGUAUGUAUCCACUUUCGCCCCAUUUAGGGCCGGCUGAGUUCUUCACUAUCCAAUACUUUUUCCCCGAUUCCUCACCGUAGCCAACUAUGACGACACUGUGUGUGACAUCGGGCGAACAAUCUUCAUCAAAAAUACCACCUUUGUAAUGUUGCCAAGUUCUGGCGUUAACUGCGACCGACACUGGUUGGUCAUUCACUGCUUUCAUAAGCUUAGCUUCGUUGUUUCUUGUAACCAACCUGCAGCCGGUAAUGUAAGCUGCAUGAUCGGAUUCCUUGGUUUUGUCGCACACCCCUUUAAACGCCUUGUAAGGGUAGUUAGCCUCCGUCGUUAAGCCUUUAUUUGCGACAAUAUAACGGAAAGCUUUUAAUCGGCUACCGCCUGAGCAGUCACCGCCGUCAGAACAAUCGAGAACUUGCUGUACAGAUAGAGAUUUUAGUUCGCCUUUCUUGAUCUUGUAGAUGCUCUCAACUGUUGCUACCACAGCGAAUGCCCAGCAGCUGGCUGGUUUUGUAUUAAGUGACAUGCACAUUCAUUAGAAUAUAUUAUAGAUGUAAGCAAGAUUUUAAGUGCCCAUCGGCACGGGCCCCAUCCACCGUGCCAACAAGAUACCGGCACGAUACAGAUUCCGUGCUGAUGGCAUCGGUCAAAAUCCUUUAUUUUUUAAAUUAGUAAAUAAUUUUCUCAACAAACUUCAAAAGAUGUGAUAAAAAGACAUAAUAAAUAGUUAGAAUAUUUUGUUGCUAAAGAAAAUAGAUAUUUCAUGCUAUUAUGUAUCGGCACAUACAAAUUUUUUUGACCGGCACGCAUCGGCACGCACUGUGCCGGUAAGUUUUCGGUAUGACUCCUUUUCGGUAUGACCCCGUGCCACGGCACUUAAAUCUUUGAAUGUAAGAGAAAGUUAGCAUGCUUAAUUAGUUAAUAUUGGUCAAUUCAGUAUGUUUUUACCAAAAGAUUUUAUUAUAUACAGGUGAAAAUUCUUACCGCAGUCUCCUUGGUCCUUGACUUCAGUUACAGCACCUUCGGUCCUCCAAUCAACAGUGGCUCUCAAGGGCGUGUUUUUGGUAUGACUCCGUGUCACGGCACUUAAAUCUUUGAAUGUAACAGAAAAUUAGCAUGCUUAAUAAGUUAAUAUUGGUCAAUUCAGUAUGUUUUUACCAAAAGAUUUUAUUAUACUACAGGUGAAAAUUCUUAAGUUACACCACCUUGGGUCCUCCUAUCAACGGUGGCUCUCAAGGGCGUGUUUUCGUACUCGGCUUCCACUAGAGCGGUCUCUAUAUCUGUUGGGAUGUCCUGCUCUGCAAUUCCUACAGCAUACGUAUUUGCAUACUCCUCGUUUGUCAUAUCGCUAAACCGGUUAACUCCGNAGGUAGCAUGCUACCCGCUUCAUUCAUUCGGGAGGUGAAUUAAGCUACAUGGGUGAGGCAACAAGGCCUCUAGGCAAACGGAGACAAAAAGGAAAAGGAAAAGUAAAAGGAAACGACAGGGAAACAGGUGUUGUGAGUAAAGUACAGCCGAUGCCUCUAUACGGUCUACGAGUUCUAACUACAGAUCUACCGAUCUACAGAUCAGUACUACUCCACUGAGCUAACAGGCGUUUGAUCUUAUGAGUACCACGAAUCGGAUCCGCCUGGGCCUUCGCAAAAAUGACACCAUUCCUAGUCUCCCAAAUCACCCACCAACAAGCUAUGAUACCGGUUAGGUCGUUAUCCGAGCCCCUCCGCCCUUUCCAUAAAUCCCACAUCCGGUGUACGUCAGCUCCCAAAUCUUGUGGAUACACUUCCUCCAGUGACAUAACCAAGAGGAAUCUGAAGAACGCGCAUUGUGUAAAGAGAUGAUCAAACGUUUCUGGCUCCGAUCCGCAAAGCACACAGCUCGUAUUCCCGGUCCAUCCUCUUUUUAACAGGUUGUCAAUGGUGGGUAUCUUUUUCUUGAGCACGAGCCAACAGAAGACCUUCACUUUAAGGGGGAUACGGAGUCUCCAGAUGUCNNNNNNNNNNNNNNNNNNNNNNNNNAUAUAUAUUGUUGAGCUAGAAUUAUCAGUAGCAAACGGGUUCCGUCGCCAUUUAUUUAUUUUCGAUGAUAAAGCCUUCAAAUCGACAAUCGGUACAGUUAAGAAUGAUCUAUACCAUUUGAAGUAUCUAGAAAUUAAAUUUCAUACUUUUCUGAUAUUGUUCUCUUGUUUAUCAAGUGAAUGUAAAAAUGAACGGUUGAAAAUAAAUAUCUUCUAAAAAGUGAUGAUGGAAAUUUUAUAAUCAAGAUCGAAAGUAUAAAUCUUGUUUUAAAUACUUUAAAGAAUUUUUUAACAAAUAUUCAAUUGAUUUGGAUAGCUCUACACUGUUAAAGGAGAAAACGCCUCAUAUCUACUAUUAAAAUUAUAAAAUUUGAAACCCUUUGAUCAUUAGGUCAACAAUGUCGAAAAGAUUUGAAAUUUAGCUUUUAGAUACUUCGAGUGGUAUAAAUUAUGUUCAACGAUACCGAUCGCCGAUUUGAAAAUUCUAUCAUCGAAAACAAAUAGAUGGCAACAGAGCCGUUUGCUAUUGAUAACAUUCCAACUCAUCUCUCUUUCUAACUCUCUCUCUCUCUCUCUCUCUCUGUAUAUAUAUAAAUAUAAUUAUGCUACUAUACUAUUGAUAUUAUCAAGGGCAUUUGGUACUAUCAAGUUUUCCACCGUUGAAUGAAAAAAUGUGCGGUUAGAAUGAUAGUGGUCUUCUAAAAUUGAGUGGGUGGUGAGUUGAAUAGUAUAAUCUAACAGGUGAAAAUAAUCAAAAAAUAGAUUUAACGGUAGCAAACUCGAUAGUAUCAGGAAUAUUUUUCUAUAAUCAGUUAAUCAUUUUUUUUUAUUUGAGAAAAAAGUAAAAUAAAAAUAUUUUCUAAUAACUAUGAUGGGACAUGUGAAUCUAAACAGGGAACAAUCUUAUUGAUUGGAGAUGUCACAUUAGUAAUAUAACUGAUGUAUUUUAAAUUUUUCUCUCUGAGACACGGAGUCAAUGGUCGAUUAUCACAUGCUAAAUUAUGUAAUUAAGGACCAAUGUGAUUUCACACUGGCACAAUGUGAUUUCACAUGCUUUUGUUUCCGCUGCAGCAUUUGUUAAUUGCAGUUAUCAACACCACGUCAUGCCAUUGUUGUCUCGUCUGCAACAAGCGUAUAAAAAAUUUCGUAAAAACAUAUAAAAUUUAUUAAAUUAUGUAUUAUUUUGAAUUGAUUAUCUAAUUUUUUUUAAUUUUGAUUUUAUUAUUGUUUACCAAAGACUAGCUUUGAUCUUUACUUACUGCAUGAGCAAUUCGGAUUGGAUUCUCUGCAACUUUAUAAACUUAUUGACUCGAUUGAUUGUUGCGUCCAGAAAUUAAGACUGUGAUUUCGGCCAAUAAUCUAAAAGGAUAAUUAUCUAUAUAACCCUCAUACGUUUGAAAAUAUAAGAUUUAUUUCUACUUUUUUUUUUUUUCUUUCUAAAAUACUUCCGCAGUUAUCUCCUAUUAAGUUAACUUGGGUUAAAUAUGAGUUAAAUAUUUAUCACAGUUAAAAAAAAUUAAAAUAUCAAUUUUGCUCUUAAUUUAAGGAUAAAUAAAAAAUGUUGGUGACAGUAGAGGGGUAUAUUUGAAAAGAUCAAAAGUCAAAAUACUUUUUUGGCUCUUGACUUUAAAAGCAAAUAAGAAAAAUCGGUGAUGGCGGAAGCGUAUAUUUGAAAGGGCAAAAUAAUAAUUUGAUACAGAUAAAAGAGAUCAUUAACGAUUUUAACUCUAGAGGUAUAUUUGAAAUAGGUUAGAACGUAAAAAGGGUAAAUCAAAAAGUCGAAAUCUUUUCAGGAAUAUAUAAGCAAUUAUCCCUAAUCUAAACUAUUGUUGGAAUUGGAAUGAAAACUUACCAAAGAAAAAAAACUAGAUUUACCUAAUUGUUUAACUCGCUCUCAACCUAAAACUAACGAAAAUAAUAAAAUGCGCUAAAAACUAUCUAGCUGCUAUUUUCCUAAAUAUCUCGAGCUGUUCAAAUUCGAAUUCUAUCAAAUCUCAGCCAAGUUCUGAAAUUAUUAUUUCAAAUCUAAAUUUAUUAUUUAAUUUAAUAAAAUUGCAAGAAUUGUAAGAAGUAUACUAACCAAAACUGUUAAGAUAAACGAUAUAUUCAUAUUUAGAUAAGUCAUCGUUUUCUUCGCUUUUGGAUGCUUCUUCUAUGAUAGCAAUAUUUGAUAAUAUAAAUAAUCAGAUAUAACUAUCGCGAGUUGAAAGGAACAUCGUGGAUCACGCGUAAAAGAGAUAUCUAUAUUUAUACUAGUUUAAUAAUUGUGAUGAGUUGGCUGAGCCCCUUAAGGUGUCAACGGCAGGCUGGCCCGCGCCGCCCGGCCCGGCACGCAGAGUGGCCGCUAGCACGGCACGCGCACUGUAGCAAUGCCAGUGCCGGCCCGGCCCGACAAGUUAAAUCGGUCCCGUGCUGGGCUUCGCUUCCCGCGCCUCGAUGGCCCGGCACGGCCCGCACGAACAUCAGGUCUAGGCCGUGCCGCCUAGAGAGUUACCUAGCCCGGCCCCGCACGGGCCCGUUGCUAAAGGCAGCUCCCGAGCCGGGCCAGGCUCUUGCACACCCAUUGGCAACCCCAACCUUUGGGACGUUGGGCAACCCAAACCUUGGGAGUUGGGUUUCUCCGAGGCCCUGCAGCACCAACUUCCCAACAUGCUUUGCGAAGUUUGGACUGUAGCUUGGUAGCGGCUUGACUAAAAGCCCCUCCAACAUCCAAAAUUGACUGUUGGGAGGUAAUUUUUUUUGUCUAAAAAGUUUAAUAAAUUUUAAAUAAUUUAUUUAAAAAUUUGUAAAUAAGUUUUAAUUAUUUUUAUAAAUAUAUUUAAUUUUUUUACUUAUAUAUUAUUUUUUAGAAAAUAUUAAUAUUAAUUAUUUUUUAUUUCAAAAAGAUUUAAAUAUUUUGUUAAAUAAAAUUAAAUAAAAUAAAAAAAGGGCCUGCCCCGAUAGCCCGGCCAGGCCCGUGCAGUCCCGGGCCGGCCCCUGCUGCCGGGUCCAUAACAAUCUUGGCUCCGCACGGCACUGGCCGCCGAUUUUGGGCCUGGGCCUGUGCCCGGCUGCCGCCCGGCUCCGUUUCGGCGCCGUAAAAUGUGGGCCGUGCCGGCCCGGCACGGCCCACAUUACAUCCCUAGGUGAGCCUGCUCUACUCUAUAUUUGAGAGCGUUUAAUUUUGUACAUUCCAAAGCUUUUUUGAAGUACUUAUAAAUUAAAUUUUUUAAUUUUUCGGAAUCAUCAUAAUAUAAAAUCCAUCAAGCAAUGAUAGAAGAAAGAAUUAAAAUUCUUGAUAAAUGAGGCCCUAAAUUUUAAGAGUACGAGUAGGGAUGUUAAUUGGUAUGGAUAUCCGAAUUUUUAUUCGAAUCUGAACCCGAAAGAAACAGAUAUAUCCGAUGCUAAAUGGAUAUGGAUUCGGACACGGAUAUCAAAAAUAGAAACCCGACGGAUGUGAAUUCGGAUAUAAAUUUUGACUGUAUCUGUCACGCCCCGGAUUACACGUUCCUCGGGCGCGCCGACAAAUCCGCCGUAUAUAAAGGAAUUUUUCCUGUAUACGAAGCGAUAGCUGUACCUGUAAAUCAAACAAUACUACAAACAGUAGUAUAGAGCUGCUAGGAGAAACAGAAUAAAACCAAACUGAGUUCCAUAUACAUACCCCAAAAUCCAAGAUACAAAAACUACUCGCACUAGCGAGUUAAAGAUAGGUAAGUACAUGAACUCCAACAAAGCUACUACCUGCAGCAGGGCACCUCUAGCUCGGCUCGUCGGGUAGGGCUCUAACUCGCGACGCCCUUGCCUCGAUCCUGAUCAGCAAUAGCAGCAGCCGAAGACGAUGGCUCUGCAAAAGAUGAAGUAACAACAGGGCAUGAGAACUACUGUAAAAACAAGUAGUCCUCAGUGGGUACCGCCCAAAACAACAUCGGUCCACCCACUAAGUCUACAGAAGGGAGCAAGAAUAGUAGUAAAAUGCAGGAAUAAAGUCUACCGCUAUCAAACACUACACUAUCAUGCUCUACACUAACCAACUGUAGGAAAAGUCAAAUCUGACCCAAUCCAAUCGGGACUGUAAGCAUACCCGUCCCCGGGACUGUGAAUACACCCGUCCCUGCCCCGUUGCGACUAUCAGGCUCUAUCCACACUAACUGGUCCGUGGAGAGCAAGUCCAACUGGCAUGAGCGACACCAACGCGAAAGCACAAAGCCUGACUCCGGAGUGGCACUCGUCGGCGCUACCCAACCGAGUAUGCAACGUAUCUCUGUCGAGCUCAAUCAGGCUCCAACUAGCCAAAGUCAAAUAAACAGGGUCAAAACAAGUCUACACAUCAAACCCACGUGCCCUUGGCACAAUCUGUGACUAAAACAAGAAUCUGGGUCCACCGCUAACCCGAACGGCACCCAACGACCCGAAACAGCCUACACUUUGCUGAAAAAUAAGCUCGGCACCCCAGCACGAGCGUAAAUGCCUUCUAAACUACCCCAGAUAUCCAUCGCACUAAUACUGCAACGAUACAAUCGAAUUUCGGCUCCUAGAGCUAAAUCUGGUAGUUUAAGCAUAUGACGGGUCAAAACGCGGGUUUUCUCCUAAGUCAUAUUUCAAGUCCAACAUGUAUAAUAUAAACAUUCAUUUCAGCAUGCUUUCACAUUCAUACUACAUUCAAGAUGCUAGUCGAUGAAUUAAAGCAUUAUAUAUACAUGAAUCAAACUAUACACGUCGACUAAAUAUGCACUUAGGAGCGAAACCGAUGAUACACCCACCUCGAGAGCAAAAUCCUGGCAGCAAGAAGGUCACUCAGCUGCGGAACACCCUGCUACAGCCAGCAAAGAUCCAAAAUCCGGAUCUAGACAUUAAAAUCACCAAAAACCACUAACAAAAUCCUAUUUCAGCACUUAAGCUUGGAUUUAUCCAACUUCAAUAUCAAAACUCACCUAAUGAGCUCCAAUUCGGGUGAGGAUAGAUCCAAAUCCAGCAACUACAGAUGGGUGAUCAAUCUCAGGUCCAAAAUCCCACUGUCUACAAAGAUAGCAUCAAGAAAAGCUCAAAAAUUCCAUUUUCAGCUCAAAGUCAACAGCAGUCCAGAAAAACCUCAGUUCGACCAAGCUAACCUCCACCAAAAUCUACAAUUCAGGGCUCCGUGGAUUUCUCUGGAAGUCUAGAAUCCAGCAAACCAAGUUUCGUCGAAAUCCGACCUUCCUACGUCGCGCACGAGCCAGAACACUGGAGGUCGUCGCUGAAGAACUGCAGAAUCAGCACUCCAUCAAGCUGGAUCAUGAAAAUUUGAUUGCAAAUUGAGGUAAAUUACGACGUGUUUGAGACUGCUAAAGCGGACUUCUCUGUGAGAAAGGAGGAAAAGAGCUCAAGCGUCACCUCUCCAUCUUAUAUAGCUGCUGGAAUAUAAAAUAAUCCCUAAGAGAAACAGCUGCAAUCCAGUGCCCCUGCAGAAACGGCGUUUCUGUGGCUCCCGGAACCAUGUUCUGGGCGACCAGAACAAUCCAGUCCUGCCACAAAACGGGCUCCUCGACUCUCCGCUCGCGGUAUCAGCCUGCGCCCAUAAAUGGCUCCGGCGGAACUCACCUACCGCCCUGCCACGCGUCGAAGCACGCGGAUAUUCACAGAUGUUGAAUUUCCGGACCCACUUCUUGGCGCCCGAACUUGGGAUCCGAAUUGGCUCCAGUUUCAGUUAAAUUCAACACUCGUUUCUGGGCGACCCUAAAAAUGUUCUGGCGCCCAAAUCUGGCCAAAACUCCGUUUUGCUGUAUUGACGAUGCGCCGAGUCCAAUUCUGCACUCCAAUCUCCGUGCAGAAUUGACUCCGACUCAGUCCGACACUCUCCAGAGAUGUCGGACCAUCGUAUUAAUAGGAAGCCAGAUCCUAUCCAAAAUUCAAGGAACACUACAGUACCCACAUUGUCACGGCGACCGGAUUAAACACGUUCCCCGGGCAUGCGACAAAUUCUGCGUACUAAAGAAAUUUUUUCCUGUAUAACGAACGACAGCUGUACCUGUAAAACCCGUACAAUACUUACAAACAGUAGUAUAGAGCUGCCUUAGAGUAAACAAUAAGCCUAAACAACGGAGAUUCCAUAAAUACUAGUCCAAUACCAAAAUACAGAGUCUACUCGCACUGGCGAGUAAGUAUACUAUGUACGAUUGAAGCUCAAAACAAACAAAUCUACUGCAGUAAGGGCACCUCUAACUCGCAUGUCUGGUAGGGCUCUAACUCGCGACGCCCUUGCCUCCGAUCCUGAUCUGGCGACAGCAGGCAGCCGACGACGAUGGCCUCUACAAAAACAGGGGUAACAACAGGGCGUGAGACAUACUGAUAAAAACAGGUAGUUCCUCAGUGGGUGCCGCCCUCAACAACAUCGGUCCACCCACUAAGUCUACAGAAGGGAGUAAAGAUAGUAGUAAAUGCAGGAAUAAAAUCUACCGCUAUAAAUCACUACACUAUCAUGCUCUACACUAACCAACUGUAGAAAAUGUCAAAUCUGACCCAAUCCAAUCGGGACUGUAGGCCUACCCGUCCCUGGGACUGUGAACACACCCGUUCCUGCACAGUUGUGACUAUCCAGCUACCUCCACACUACUAGUCCGUGGAGAGCAAGUCCAACCAGCAUGAGCGACACCAACGCGAAAGCACAGCGCCCGUCUCCGGAGUGGCACUCGUGGGAGCUACCCAACCGAGUAUGCAGCGUAUCUCUGUCGAGCUCAAUCAGGCUCUCAAAAGUCAAAGUCCAGUGACCGACUCAAACUAGUCUAACAAGCAACAGGUAACGUGCCCUCGACACAAUCCAACGCCAAAAAGGCGAUACGGGUCCACCGUCAACUCCGACGGCACCCAAUAGUUCGGAACAGCCUAAACGCUAUUUUAAAAAUUCACUCGGCAUCCCCGCACGAGUGUAACUCAAAUCUAAAGUACCUGUAAUUCUCAAUAUGAUAAUACUGCAACAGUAUAAAAUCACACAACGGCCCCUAGGGCUAAAUCAUGUAGUUUAACAUAUGCCGAUCGUUAUCGCAUUUUCUCCUAAGUUGAAUCCAAGUCCAACAUGCAUAUUUAUGGUUACAAGUCAUGUUCUCAAUGCUGAUUAUUUUUAGCCGUGAUACGAUCAACAACCUGAGCUACAACAUGAUUUACCAGAAACCCGAAAAUCAUACAUGUCGACUAAUAUAUACUUAGGAAUAAACCGAUGUAACCCACCUCGAUCGCUAAACCCCGGCAACAAGGAGGUCACCAAAAAUUCCCAAAUCCACUUGAAAAACCAGGGUGUCCAGCUCAAGUUCGAAAUCGCCCCGCACACAUCGCAACGAAGAACUCCAACUCAAAUUCUGUCCGAAACACAGCAGCAGAGAAAAACAUAAUUUCGACCCAGCUAACCUUCAACAAAUCCAGCAAAUAAGAGUUUUGUGGAUUCCUCUCGAAAUCCUGAAUCCAAAGAACCAAGUCCCGUCGAAAUCCGACGUUCCUACGCCGAGUACGAGCCGAAACACUGACGGUCGACGCUGAAAAUCAGUAAAAUCAGCACGCGAGCUCAAAACUGUGCGUUCAAGUAAUCCAAGGAGGAAAGUUAGGUACCCACCUCGACAGCGAAUCUAGCGCCGGUGCGACGUCGAGGACGGCGAAAACACCCCCUUGCCCAGCCUCCUCGCGAUGUAACGGCCGCAACCGUAUGCUCGAAUGGCUUCGCGGCGCGACGUCGACGUGGAAAUCGAGCUCCGCGGCACGACCCGAGCUCCUCCUUGCUUCGGCCGACUGGAGAGAGAGACUUAAUUACAGAAGUGCAUGCACACCCUCUAAAUAAAUAAGCAUGCAAUGCAUGCAAGGGGUGCGUGGCAUCCAUAUAUAUAUAUAUGUAGAGUCCGGCUACUACACUAUCGAUAGUACCAAGUCCUUGGUACUAUUGAGUUUUCUAUUGUUAGAUCUACCCUUUGAUCAUUUCCACCCGUUAGAUUAUAAUAUUAAACCAACCACCCACUCAACCCUAGGGGACCACUAUCAUCCUAACCGCACAUCUUUUCAUUCAACGGCCGAAAACUCAAUAGUACCAAGAACUUGGUACUAUUGAUAGUAUAGUAGCAUAAUUCUAUAUAUAUAUAUAUAGUAUAAAUAUAUAUAUGUAUAUAUUAUAUAUAUAAUAUAUAUAAAGGAUACUACACCACUCGAACCGACACCGAACCCAAAUUUAUCUUGAUUAUAUAUAUAUAUAUAUAUAUAUAAUAUAUAUAUAUAAUAUAUAUAAUAUAUAUAAUUGUUAGGUUAGGAUGAUAUUAGUCAGAUAGAGUUGAGUGGCCCCUAGGAUUGAGUGGUCCCCACUGAAGUUGUAGUAUUUAAUACAAUGAUUAGAAAUGAUGAAAAUAGUCGAUUCAAAGGCUAAAAACUUGAUAGCAAAAAGAACGUUUUGCUAUCAAUAGUAUCCCAGCCUAACUCUCUCUCUCUCUCUCUCUCUCUCUCUCUCUAUAUAUAUAUAUAUAUAUGAUGUUAUGUUUGAAUUUGUAUUUAAAAAUUUAGAUUUAAUAUAAUAUAUUUUCAAAUAUUGAAAAAAGAAAUAAUUGUUUCGGGUUCAAAUUUUCGGGUUCGGGUUCAGAUUUAGAUUUCGGAUUUUUGGUCCGGUUCGGAUUUGGAUAUGAAUUUUUAAAAUCCGUCCUGUUCGGGUUCUGGUUCGGAUUCGGAUUUCGGGUUUGGAGUCGGGUUCGGGUUCUUAAAAAUCCGCCCCGAAUCCGAUCUGUUGGCGUCUCUAGGUAGGAGGGGAACUUAGCAUGCAUGAAUUAAUCAACACUCAAUUUUUUGCUGCUUCAUUCAAUCACGAGAAAUUAAGUAUUUAUCCUACUCUCAUGCUUUCCACUGAAAAAAAGCGUGUAUUAUAUAUUGAAUAUAAAUAUUAAAAAUAUUAUUUUUUUUUACUAUAUAUCUUAAUUUUUUGACCCUGGUGGCGGAUGGUGGCUGGCCCAAAUAUAUAAUUACAGAAUAUUAUUCAAUAUCUGACUUAAUGAAAAAUUAUAUAGAUCGAGACCUCCUCAACUAUAUAUAAUUAAUCCAUCUUAAUUAAUAUAAAUCCUUUUACGUACCUUUGCCUUUUUUUUUUACAGGCAAUUUUUUUUACUUUUAAUUUGUUUUAGUUUGAGUUAUUCUAAUUAGUUUUGUCAAAAGUUUCUUAGAUUUUUAUUAGUAGUUGAUUGUUGUUGCUUUAUUUAUUAAAAUGAUUAUAAUUUUUAAAUUUGAUAAGAAGAAAGAUAAUUAAAAUUUGCUAAAAUUUUAAACUUAUUUGUAGCUUGUCAUUCUCUAUCUCUCUCUCUUUUUUAAUAUUGAAACAAAAAAAAAAAAAGGAAUUGAUUAAACCCUAGGGGACCCUAGGAUAAAAAGUGUUUCAAUACAAAUUUACCUAGAUGCUUAAGCUCAAACCAUCAGCCCAAUACUCACUAAUCACUAUCCAACAAACUAGCAACAAUAAAUUGUUAAAUCCAAAUAAAACCAUUGGUAAAAAAAUACUUAAACUCAAUUAUUAUAACUAUAUAGUUCCUGAUCCUUAUAUUUUCAAUUAUAAUAUUUCUAUUCGAUAUGGGACUAUUUUACAUAGCUUAUAUAUAUGAUUAAAAAAGAAGAGUGUUCCAUUAAAUUUCCAUUUGCAAAAUAUACACGGCGCAAUAUUAAUGGUUUAGCGAUCAAUUUAUUAAUCAAACUUCACAUAUUUAUUGGACCAUAUUGAUACAACAAAUUGGUUUAGGUAGAGAAUUAAUGAAGGAGACAAAUGAAUUAUCUGCUAAAUUUAUUGCGUAAAAUAAGGGGAAGGAAAAAAAGAAAAAAAGAAUAAGCCAUACAUAUAUACAUGCAUGAAUCUCACGUACGUCCAAUAGUGAUAUAUAUAUAUAAUAAUGCUAAUGAACGAAGUAGGUGACGACGAGAGCUAGCACACUAAAAAAUAAUAAUAAUAAUAAUAAUAUAAGGACGGUUUUUAGACGACGCUUAGGGNAUAAUAAUGGUAAUGAACGAAGUAGGUGACCACGAGAGCUAGCACACUAAAAAUAAUAAUAAUAAUAAUAAAAGGACGUUUUUUAGACCACGCUUAGGAUAAGCGUCUCAAUGUAUUUUUACAAUAUAUAAAAAAUACCAACGCUUCAGAAAACGUCGUCAUAUAAUAUCAAAUAAUUUAUUAAAUGAUGAUAAGUUUUACUAUUAUUUUUAAUUUUUCUACAGGUUAAAGCGUUAGAAUUUUAAAAAUCAUAACACUUUAAAGUAUCAGAAUAUAUUUUAUCGACGCUUAGUAUAAGCGUCGAUAUAUGCGUGGCGACCUAACAUUUGCCGCCGCUGUCAAAAGUGACAUUGGAAUAUAUUGAGAUGCUUUUAAGCAUCGUAAAAUAUAAAAAAGAGUAUCCUUAAAUGUAACAUUUUUUAUAGUGGCAACAAACAUGAGAACAUAUAAGCAAUCCCUUGAUCGAUCGCAUUGCCGUCGAUCCGAUGUUUUUGUACCACCGCUGCCGCCGCAGCCUCCUCGUGGCCGUGCGCGAGCUGCGUGAACCCCGGCGUGAACGCAAUCGCGAUGAUGAACAGCGCGUAUGCUCUCAUCGAACUCAUAUUCCUAUAUAUAUCUCUCAAGAAUUACUAAGGCUUAUAAUUUGCGUAGCUAGCUCGGUGUGUGUAGUAGUAGUAGUUGUUGUUGUUGUGGUGCAUGUAGAGGAGUUGGUACAUACGUAGAAGUGUAUUUAUAGUUUUUUUUUUUUUUUUUUUUUUUUUUUUUUUUGGUGGGGGGAGGAAGGUGCUUUGGAAUUAUGGAGUGAGGGGUACGAAUUAGGGAGCCGGCCGUUAACCCGAAGAACGCGGAUGGCGGGAAAAAUUAGGGUUUCAGGUAAUGGUCAAAUGAGGGGUCAAAUUAAAGGGAGAGGAAAAUAAACGGAAGAUUCCUUACCGUUGGAUCUCAAUGUUUAAAAAGUGGGGUGUUUAUGAGCGUGCAUUAAUCCUCUCUACUGUUUACCACCCAAGCUGUUGGAUUCCAUAAACUCCUGCUAUUGCACAAUAUUUUUUAGACCUAAUUCACUACAACAGAAUAAGAUUAUAACGAUAUAUUUUUAGAACACUUUUAUGUAAGUGUUCCAUUUAUGUUAAAUUUUUAAAAAAAUAAUACUAAGGCCUAAAUAUAAAAUCCGAUCCAAUCAUAAACAAAAAGCUACUCUACUCAACCAACCACACCUAACCCACUCGGCCUGAUUACAAAUAAAAAAGAAAAAAAAAUUCUGACCAUCUCUACUUCUCCUCCUCCGUCGUCACAGCUGACCAGGCAGGGUUCCAAUGGCUGAAGUUCGGCCACGAGGAUUUUGUAGGAACUUUAGAGAGCUACGAUUGUCACGUAUCCCUCCGCCAUAGGUUGCUGGAGGAGUGGGUGCCAAAUAUCAAGACGACUUUAUCUAUAGCGACCUCACAUAUAAUAAGAUUUUUAAAGUGUUAGUAAUUUAGUCAGCCAUACUUUUUUUUAACUUAUACCGAUAUUUAAAAGUCUCGCUAUACACCCUUUUGUUGUAGUGAUUAUAAGAAUCUUGCAGUUUUUCUCGUGGCUCAAAUAUUUCUCACAUAAAAAAAAAUUUAGAUAGUGUCAAUUCUAUAUUUUAGUUUUGUCUCAAAUAGAUAUUCAGUUCGAAUUUCUCAUUUGUUGAGAUAGUAUAUAUAUCUUUAAACUUACUUACGGUCCUUUAAGUAUGUUGUUAAUUGCCAAAUCUGUGAAGAGCUAGCCACACACACACACACACACACACACACACACACACACACACACACACACAUAUUUAUAUAUAUAUAUCAAGAAAUUAAUCAAGCUUAUUUUCCAAAUCCGAGAAGAGCCACAAAAAAAAAAAAAAAAAAAAAUGUGAAGGGUUCUGCUCAUCACGUCCGAGAAUUCAAGUGUUUUAAAUGCCAAAUCAUCUUGUUAUGUCAUUGCUAUUAACACUUCUAUCAAAGUUAACAAAAUCUCUAAAUUAUUGAGUCUUUUCUUUUUUCUGAUAGAGAAAAUAUUCUGUCCAACAUCAUUUUAUUAUGAUAUAUAUUUGAAAAUAGCAAACACUGGCCUCUUUCAUAUCUUAGGAAAAUACUACGUAUUUAUUAACCUACAUAUAGAUCAAAAUCUUACACCUUACGAAUCCAUCCUAGCUAAGAUUCACAAAACUAACUCUUUUUAGUUUUAGUAUAUGUAAAAAGAUAGUUAAUAAGAUUAGUGGAGGAGGACCGACUAAUGCUACAUGUACAGUCAAAUCCUUGUAUAGCUUUCUUGCGUAUAGAGAUAGAAUUCUUGGUCAGGCUAUCUCCAUGGUGUGGUUGGCUCGAAAAGCGGUGCGAAUGAUCUUGAAACUUGUGAUCACCUUUUGUUUAAGUAUAUAUAUAUAUAUACUUUCUCCACAAUCGUUGACGUCAACUCAGUCUUCCAUAUCUUCGAAUGUAAUUCUGCCCUAUCCGGCCUUAUGCUAUUUAAUUUGAAGUUGAUGAAAAAUUAAAUUCUCUGACUUAUGGCUCUAAUCUGUACCAAUAAUGAGAUCGUUGACGGCUUAGCGCUAAUUAUUAAUUCCAAUAACUCAACCUAUUAGAAGUAUAAGACCAAUUUACUUUAUAAGACGCACAGACACAUCACCUACGAGUCUCAAUUGUGGCUUGGCCCAAUUUGACCUCUCGCCACUAAGAAACAUAUCUCGGGCUAAUCUGGUCUCCCAUCAUUUCUAACGUGACUCAGUCUAAUCUCACCUUUCGUUGCUACGCAAGAUGCUGGUCCCUUUAGGCGAACACUUUUGACAUAUGAUCGCUUGCUCCGAUGAACCAACCCUUAAGACUCAUCUCUCAUAAAGAACGUUACAGGAAUAUCGGGGUAGAUGCUCAAACUUAGAGAUAACAACGAGAUCAUAAGAGGCCUUAUCCUACUCUCAUUUACGUGGUGAGUGAUUUGGAACGAGAGGGACAACGUGAUACUAGUUUAUUAUAUAUUUUUUUCUAAAAAAAUAAAAACAAGUUGCAUUGGUUGGGGGGCAAAGUGAAGAAGAUGAAUGAAUCAACCACCCAAUACAUUGCCCAAAAUAGAGUAAUUAAAAACAAAUUAAGCAGCAUAUUGAAUUAAAGCUGUUUGCAUGCAGCAUAACAAACAUGUUUAUUAAUCGAACUUUACAUCAACUGUCUACAUAUUUAUUGAAUCAAUGAUACAACAAAUUCGUUUGCAUAGAGAAUGAAGGAGACGAAUGUUUAUUCCCUGAAAUAGGGGAAAAAAUUAAGGAACAAACAAUACACAAGCUACACAUGCAUGUAUGAAUCUCACGUCCAAGUAGUGAUAUUAACGAUACUAAUGAACGAAGUAGGUGAUGAGGAGAGCAACAAGCAUGAGAACAUAAGCAAUCCCUUGAUCGAUCGCAUUGCCAUCGAUCCGAUGUACUGGUACUGCCGUCGCCUCUGAAUGGCCAUGCGCGAGCCGUGUCGAUCCCGAUAUGAACGCAACGGUGAUGAUGAACAGCGCGUACGCUCUCAUCAGACUCAUAUUCCUCUCUCAAAAAU